Molecule: long non-coding RNA, 246 nt
Organism: Zingiber officinale
Lineage: Eukaryota; Viridiplantae; Streptophyta; Magnoliopsida; Zingiberales; Zingiberaceae
Exons: 3
Source: RefSeq, a predicted model, not a curated record
GAGACAUGAGAACCAGUUGAAGCUCGAGGCAAAGCUUCAGGAUUUGGAGGUAGAAUGGAAUGGAGGCACCGAAACUAAGGAGGAAAUAAUUGCUAGGAUACAACAAAGGGAAGAAGCUGCAGUUAAGCGCGAACGAGCAAUGGCUUAUGCAUUCUCCCAUCAGUGGAGGGCAAGCUCAGGGAUCAACCAAGGGCCAUUUGUGUAUGAGCUAGCAAAAGGUAAUUGGGAUGGAGUUGGGUGGACAAG